Molecule: long non-coding RNA, 1288 nt
Organism: Mangifera indica (mango)
Lineage: Eukaryota; Viridiplantae; Streptophyta; Magnoliopsida; Sapindales; Anacardiaceae
Exons: 7
Source: RefSeq, a predicted model, not a curated record
GCGCGCACGGACUGUAUAAAAAUUCAUUUUCUCAAGCAAGAUCCUCUGAAAUGGAUUCACGUCAGUGAAAAAUUGAGCCUUGUUAAGCGGUGAAGAACGGGGAUUUCAAAGAAAAAUUUGGGCCCUUUUUGUGUUUUAAAUUAAUGUUUGAUUGACAUUGAUUUGUUUUUUUAAACUUUAGGUUGUUAACUUGAGUAGUAGAUUCUCAAAUUAAAAGAAUCUAAUUGAUAACAAGUUCUUCCAUAACUUUUUCUCUCUCAUUGAAUGCUCUUUCUCUAGACAUAGAAUCAGAAGCGAAACAGUGUCAGGAAUUAAGAAGUUGACAAACUGAUGGCCGGCAAAGGAAAAAUGGACAUGGCCCUCAGUCAAAUCUCUGAAGAUAGGCUGCGGAGGGCUUCUCGAGUUUCAGCAAUUUUUUUUUUUUGGAAAUUUCAAGCUGGGUUUGUGAUUCAGUUUUCUCAUUUACUUUGAUAUAGUGGGCGUCAGAAUUUUUAAGGUGUAUUCUGGGAAUGAAAGGGUUAAAGAUGUUGCCAAAAGCAUAAGGAAUUCUGUAUCAGUUAAACAGGAAGCUGCUCUUACUAGUACGAGUAAUAAGAAGGAAUUCCUAACAAGGAGAAUGGAAAAAGCAAGUCUGGUACUUCUGCUGGCGUAAAAGUUGGAAGAAAAGCAUUGGUUGAUGUCGGCAAGAUAGCAGGGAAUGUUGCAAGGAAUGUAGUGCAUGAUGGUUCUAAAUCAUUGAAGAGUGUGAGAAGUGCAUUCUUGCACCAGUAUGCAUAUGUUGUCUUUGUCACGUUCAUUACUGUAGAUUUUGUAUCUGUUUUUGUUUUUGAAAAUGAUCAAGAUCAAAGAUUGAAUCUAGAUUUCCAGGUGAGUUAAUAUGAGAUUAAUUUGUGUGUAAUUUUUUUGUCGUAUGGGUACUUGAUGUGAUCAUCUAAUGAAUUGAAUGUUGGGUUAUUAUUCCUAAAGAAGAAAUGAAUAAAAUCUUUGUUUGUCUGUGUAUUUUUAUUGUAUGCAUUGAGCGUGUGCAUGAGCUGCGUGUGCGUGUGGCGAUUUUCUUGAUUGCAUGGGAUUCUUAUCACAAGAUUUGUUGAUCACAAAAUCAAAACUUUAUAGAAAGGGUGACAACUUUACAAGAUAUGAUUUGCACCGCUCAUAAAUGACCAAUUUCACUGCAGUUUGGUUGUGAAGAGGAGAAACAAAAUUCUCUUCUCUCUGCUUUCGUCCUUAUAAUUUUGAUGUUUGCUUCCAGUUCUUAUGUUUGUUAAUCACGUCAAAUUUGCUGAAUUUU